GCCCGUAGAAAUGGCACGUUGAAUGCACCAGUUCACAAUGGUUUACUGAAGUUAACCAACGUUGCGCGUGGUUGGUAUCCGGAUGGGUGACCAUCGGGGCAAUCACGUUUGCUGGCA
RNAcentral lists this ribosomal RNA (117 nucleotides) under Diaphorina citri (Asian citrus psyllid). The record is from RNAcentral. Lineage: Eukaryota; Metazoa; Arthropoda; Insecta; Hemiptera; Psyllidae.